GGGGUCGUAGCUCAGUGGGAGAGCACGAAAAUGUUUCAGCAAGACUUGUCGCAGCAAUGCGAAUGCCGCUGGAACUACAAGUUCUUUCGAUGUCCCUGGUUCGAAUCCAGGCGACUCCA
RNAcentral lists this transfer RNA (119 nucleotides) under Leptospirales bacterium. Its description in RNAcentral is "tRNA-OTHER". It matches the Rfam family "tRNA". Rfam says of the family: Transfer RNA (tRNA) molecules are approximately 80 nucleotides in length. Lineage: Bacteria; Pseudomonadati; Spirochaetota; Leptospiria; Leptospirales. The record is from RNAcentral.